Molecule: long non-coding RNA, 1469 nt
Filed under: Piliocolobus tephrosceles (Ugandan red Colobus)
Lineage: Eukaryota; Metazoa; Chordata; Mammalia; Primates; Cercopithecidae
Description: lncRNA (ENSPTEG00000005188.1)
Source: RNAcentral
AACAUUCCCUGACUUGAUAUGUAGAGAGAAUUAUAAUUUGAUUAACGAUGACUCGAAAGAUUUGUUUUUAUUGUUAGAUGAUGCUUAUCCAUUUAAAAAUGAUGCAAAUACAAAUAAUCGUAUUAUUAUACUUAAUGAAAGUAAAUUGCUGCAUAAAAUUUUAUCGGACCCGCUAUUAAUCGAAUUUAAUAUAAUAAUUAUAACAAAUGUACAUAAAAGAUUUUUAAAAACGGAUUUACUUUUGGCACUAUUAAAAAGGAUGCUUAUAAAAAGAAGCGAUUUGUAUGUCUUUCUUUUUUUAGACUUUUUUAUUGAAAAUGUGCUUCAUUUUUUUGAUUCUUAUAAUAGCGCCUUUUUUAGCCAGUACAAUAGGGAAUUGCAUGGUGACAGGAAUAGCGAUCGACAUGGUAACCGACAUAGCGAAAGGAUAUCCGAUCAAGAAGAAACGUCACUAGUAGCAAUGCGAGAUCAGGACAACGUAAAACAGAGGAAAGAACGUUUUUUAACAAUUGAUACGGAAGAAACAAAACGGCGAGAGUCGGGUAUGACGGAAGAAAGUAACAAAAAAAUAAACACAAUUAAAACAGCAUUAGCUGAAUUUACAAAUGGUGAAAAAAAGAUACAAGGGUUAGAAAAGAGCGAAGAAGCAUCGGAUAAAAAAAAGGAAUCAGAUAAAAAAAAGGAAUCAGAUAAAAAAAAGGAAUCGGAUAAAAAAAAGGAAUCGGAUAAAAAAAAGGAAUCGGAUAAAGAGGAAGCAUCGGAUAAAGAGGAAGAAUCGGAUAAAGAGGAAGAAUCGGAUAAAGAGGAAGAAUCGGAUAAAGAGGAAGAUAUUCAAUUUGUACAUAAGUUGCACAGAAAACACAUUAGAUGUUUUGAUGAACUUGUUCAUAACAAAAAAAUAAUACCUGGGAAAUAUUUACAACAUAAAGAUUAUCAAUCUGUAAUAAAAAAAAAUAUAUUUAUAAAAAAUAAAAAGUUUAUAGAUUUAAUAAAUAAUCAAAACGAGUAUGUAACAAGUAGAAGUAAUAGUCUGUCAUCAAGUAAUAUGACCGAUUUUGAAGAAGAUUCUCGUUGUGUGAGCACGUACAAAACAUCUGAUUCAGCUACGCAUGAUAAUGAUGAAAAAAAUGAGAGCGAAAGAAGUGCAGAAAAAAAUACGGGGUUAUCUACUGCUAACAAUAAAAAAAAAUGUUUCUUCAUGAACUCCGAAACGCACUCGCUAAUAUAUAAUGAAAAUAAUAAUAUGAGUGGUACGCACACAGUUCCAGAUGCAAAUUCACAAAACAGUGAUGCAAAACAAAUAGAGGUAGGUGAUACACAUAUAAAAGAAUGGGAAUCGUUUGAAUUACAAUUAGAAAAAGUUAACAAUAUAAUAAAUAUAUUCAUUUUUCAUAUUACAAACAGCAGUAGACAUAAUGACAAUAAAGAAAGAAAUAAACAUAACAAUGGAGAUGGAUAUAAUAAUAAAG